CAGUCGCCGCGGGAAUACGAAGGGGGCUAGCGUUGUUCGGAUUUACUGGGCGUAAAGCGCACGUAGGCGGAUCGAUCAGUCAGGGGUGAAAUCCCAGAGCUCAACUCUGGAACUGCCUUUGAUACUGUCGAUCUGGAGUAUGGAAGAGGUGAGUGGAAUUCCGAGUGUAGAGGUGAAAUUCGUAGAUAUUCGGAGGAACACCAGUGGCGAAGGCGGCUCACUGGUCCAUUACUGACGCUGAGGUGCGAAAGCGUGGGGAGCAAACAGGAUUAGAUACCCGCGUAGUCCCUGUCUCUUAUAC
Molecule: ribosomal RNA, 301 nt
Filed under: uncultured bacterium
Lineage: Bacteria
Description: partial 16S ribosomal RNA
Rfam family: Bacterial small subunit ribosomal RNA
Source: RNAcentral